RNAcentral lists this ribosomal RNA (1412 nucleotides) under uncultured Hyphomonadaceae bacterium. Its description in RNAcentral is "bacterial SSU rRNA". It matches the Rfam family "Bacterial small subunit ribosomal RNA". The record is from RNAcentral. Lineage: Bacteria; Pseudomonadati; Pseudomonadota; Alphaproteobacteria; Hyphomonadales; Hyphomonadaceae.
AGGGUUCGAUUCUGGCUCAGAACGAACGCUGGCGGCAGGCUUAACACAUGCAAGUCGAACGAUAUAGUGGCAGACGGGUGAGUAACGCGUGGAAACGUGCCUUUCACUACGGAAUAGCUUUUGGAAACGAAAGGUAAUACCGUAUACGCCCUCCGGGGGAAAGAUUUAUCGGUGAAAGAUCGGUCCGCGUUAGAUUAGCUAGUUGGUGAGGUAACGGCUCACCAAGGCUACGAUCUAUAGCUGGUCUGAGAGGAUGACCAGCCGCACUGGGACUGAGACACGGCCCAGACUCCUACGGGAGGCAGCAGUGGGGAAUAUUGCACAAUGGGCGCAAGCCUGAUGCAGCCAUGCCGCGUGAAUGAUGAAGGCCUUAGGGUUGUAAAAUUCUUUCGCCAGGGAUGAUAAUGACAGUACCUGGUAAAGAAGCCCCGGCUAACUUCGUGCCAGCAGCCGCGGUAAUACGAAGGGGGCUAGCGUUGUUCGGAAUUACUGGGCGUAAAGCGCACGUAGGCGGACUUUUAAGUCAGAUGUGAAAUCCCGAGGCUCAACCUCGGAACUGCAUUUGAAACUGGGAGUCUAGAGAUCAGGAGAGGUUAGCGGAAUACCGAGUGUAGAGGUGAAAUUCGUAGAUAUUCGGUGGAACACCAGUGGCGAAGGCGGCUAACUGGACUGAUACUGACGCUGAGGUGCGAAAGUGUGGGGAGCAAACAGGAUUAGAUACCCUGGUAGUCCACACCGUAAACGAUGAGUGCUAGUUGUCUGCAGGCAUGCCUGUAGGUGACGCAGCUAACGCAUUAAGCACUCCGCCUGGGGAGUACGGCCGCAAGGUUAAAACUCAAAGAAAUUGACGGGGGCCCGCACAAGCGGUGGAGCAUGUGGUUUAAUUCGAAGCAACGCGCAGAACCUUACCUACGCUUGACAUGCCCGGACGAUUUCCAGAGAUGGAUCUCUCCCUUCGGGGCCGGUGCACAGGUGCUGCAUGGCUGUCGUCAGCUCGUGUCGUGAGAUGUUGGGUUAAGUCCCGCAACGAGCGCAACCCUCAUCCUUAGUUGCCAUCACGUUUGGGUGGGCACUCUAGGGAAACUGCCGGUGCUAAGCCGGAGGAAGGCGGGGAUGACGUCAAGUCCUCAUGGCCCUUACGCGUAGGGCUACACACGUGCUACAAUGGCGGUGACAAUGGGAUAAUCCCCAAAAACCAUCUCAGUUCGGAUUGUCGGCUGCAACUCGCCGGCAUGAAGUUGGAAUCGCUAGUAAUCGUGGAUCAGCAUGCCACGGUGAAUACGUUCCCGGGCCUUGUACACACCGCCCGUCACACCAUGGGAGUUGGAUCUACCCGAAGAUUGUGAGCUAACUUCGGAGGCAGCAAGCCACGGUAGGUUCAGCGACUGGGGUGAAGUCGUAACAAGGUAGCC